GUGCCAGCAGCCGCGGUAACACGUAGGACGCAAGCGUUAUCCGGAAUUAUUGGGCGUAAAGCGCGCGCAGGCGGUUCCUUAAGUCUGAUGUGAAAGCCCACGGCUCAACCGUGGAGGGUCAUUGGAAACUGGGGGACUUGAGUGCAGGAGAGAAGAGUGGAAUUCCACGUGUAGCGGUGAAAUGCGUAGAGAUGUGGAGGAACACCAGUGGCGAAGGCGACUCUUUGGCCUGUAACUGACGCCGAGGCGCGAAAGCGUGGGGAGCAAACAGGAUUAGAUACCCUGGUAGUCCACGCCGUAAACGAUGAGUGCUAAGUGUUAGAGGGUUUCCGCCCUUUAGUGCUGAAGUAAACGCAUUAAGCACUCCGCCUGGGGAGUACGGCCGCAAGGCUGAAACUCAAAGAAAUUGACGGGA
RNAcentral lists this ribosomal RNA (415 nucleotides) under uncultured Bacillus sp. RNAcentral's name for it is "bacterial SSU rRNA". It matches the Rfam family "Bacterial small subunit ribosomal RNA", at positions 505 to 918 of the family's 1533-position model. The record is from RNAcentral. Lineage: Bacteria; Bacillati; Bacillota; Bacilli; Caryophanales; Bacillaceae.